This 507-nucleotide ribosomal RNA is filed under the name uncultured bacterium. RNAcentral's name for it is "partial 16S ribosomal RNA". It matches the Rfam family "Bacterial small subunit ribosomal RNA", at positions 28 to 506 of the family's 1533-position model. The record is from RNAcentral.
GACGAACGCUGGCGGCGUGCUUAACACAUGCAAGUCGAACGGGCCUUGUCCCCUUUUUUUUUGGGGGUGGGGUUAGUGGCGAACGGGUGAGUAACACGUGAGUAACCUGCCCCUCACUUCUGGAUAACCGCUUGAAAGGGUGGCUAAUACGGGGUGUUCUGGCCUGCUCGCAUGGGUGGGUUUGGAAAGAUUCGACCGGUUUUGGUUGUUUUGGUGGGGGAUGGGCUCGCGGCCUAUCAGCUUGUUGGUGGGGUGAUGGCCUGCCAAGGCUUUGACGGGUAGCCGGCCUGAGAGGGUGGGCGGUCACACUGGGACUGAGACACGGCCCAGACUCCUACGGGAGGCAGCAGUGGGGAAUAUUGCACAAUGGGCGCAAGCCUGAUGCAGCGACGCCGCGUGAGGGAUGGAGGCCUUCGGGUUGUGAACCUCUUUCGCCAGUGAAGAAGGUCCUGCUCUUUGUGGUGGGGUUGACGGUAGCUGGGUUAAUGAAGCGCCGGCUAACUACGU